RNAcentral lists this ribosomal RNA (354 nucleotides) under uncultured bacterium. RNAcentral describes it as "partial 16S ribosomal RNA". It matches the Rfam family "Bacterial small subunit ribosomal RNA", at positions 338 to 690 of the family's 1533-position model. The record is from RNAcentral.
CCUACGGGAGGCAGCAGUGAGGAAUAUUGGUCAAUGGGCGGAAGCCUGAACCAGCCAAGUAGCGUGCGGGAUGAAGGCCCUACGGGUCGUAAACCGCUUUUGCACGGGGAUAACACCCUCCACUUGUGGAGGUCUGCAGGUACCGUGCGAAUAAGGGCCGGCUAAUUCCGUGCCAGCAGCCGCGGAAAUACGGAAAGCCCGAGCGUUAUCCGGAUUCAUGGGGCUUAAAGGGAGCGUAGGCGGGCGUUCAAGUCAGCUGUAAAAUCGCGCGGGUCAACCCCGCCCCGCAGUUUGAAAUGGACGCCUUGAGUUCACAACAGGCAGGCGGAAGUCGUGGUGUAGGCGGGAAAUGCA